GAUGAACGCUGGCGGCGUGCCUAAUACAUGCCAGUCGAGCGAACGGACGAGAAGCUUGCUUCUCUGAUGUUAGCGGCGGACGGGGGAGUAACACGUGGAUAACCUACCUAUAAGACUGGGAUAACUUCGGGAAACCGUAGCUAAUACCGGAUAAUAUUUUGAACCGCAUGGUUCAAAAGUGAAAGACGGUCUUGCUGUCACUUAUAGAUGGAUCCGCGCUGCAUUAGCUAGUUGGUAAGGUAACGGCUUACCAAGGCAACGAUGCAUAGCCGACCUGAGAGGGUGAUCGGCCACACUGGAACUGAGACACGGUCCAGACUCCUACGGGAGGCAGCAGUAGGGAAUCUUCCGCAAUGGGCGAAAGCCUGACGGAGCAACGCCGCGUGAGUGAUGAAGGUCUUCGGAUCGUAAAACUCUGUUAUUAGGGAAGAACAUAUGUGUAAGUAACUGUGCACAUCUUGACGGUACCUAAUCAGAAAGCCACGGCUAACUACGUG
RNAcentral lists this ribosomal RNA (497 nucleotides) under uncultured bacterium. RNAcentral describes it as "partial 16S ribosomal RNA". It matches the Rfam family "Bacterial small subunit ribosomal RNA", at positions 28 to 507 of the family's 1533-position model. The record is from RNAcentral.